GAUGAACGCUAGCGGCAGGCUUAACACAUGCAAGUCGAGGGGCAGCGCGGGAUAGCAAUAUCCUGGCGGCGACCGGCGGAAGGGUGCGUAACGCGUGAGCGACAUGCCCGUUGCCCGGGGACAACCGGUGGAAACGCCGACUAAUCCCCGAUGGGAUACGAUGCUUCAUGGCAUUGUAUUGAAAGUUACGGCGGCGACGGAUUGGCUCGCGUCCGAUUAGCUGGUUGGCGGGGUAACGGCCCACCAAGGCUGCGAUCGGUAGGGGUUCUGAGAGGAAGGCCCCCCACAAUGGGACGGAGACACGGCCCAUACUCCUACGGGAGGCAGCAGUGAGGAAUAUUGGACAAUGGGCGGAAGCCUGAACCAGCCAUGCCGCGUGCGGGAAGGAGGCCCUAUGGGCUGUGAACCGCUUUUGCCUGGGGGCAAUAAGGGCGUCGCGCACGUCCGAUGAGAGUACCAGGCGAAUAAGCAUCGGCUAACUCCGUG
Molecule: ribosomal RNA, 486 nt
Filed under: uncultured bacterium
Lineage: Bacteria
Description: partial 16S ribosomal RNA
Rfam family: Bacterial small subunit ribosomal RNA
Source: RNAcentral